CCUGAUGCUCGCCAAUCAAUUUAGCUAAAUUAUCAGUUCUUUCCUUAUAUGCUAGGCUCAAUACCUUGUUGUUUGCCUUCUCAGAUAUAAUUGGCCGAAUGACCAGUAAGGCAAACUUCUGACAUGCAUUGAUCAUUCUCUUGGUCUGGCAAGCGGUUACCAGGUCUACAGUUGUUGAUAAUGGCUCUGUGGUGAACAAAAAUUUCUGCCCAUCCUUAAUAAAUUGGUAUUGCCGAGGACGACGGAAGAAGGUAGCGUCACGGUCCUAUAGGUAGGGACUGCCGAAAAUGAGGUUGCAAAUAUUCAGCGGCACAA
Molecule: long non-coding RNA, 315 nt
Filed under: Ananas comosus (pineapple)
Lineage: Eukaryota; Viridiplantae; Streptophyta; Magnoliopsida; Poales; Bromeliaceae
Description: long non-coding RNA (ACOM_LNC031295)
Source: RNAcentral